UACGGAGGAUCCGAGCGUUAUCCGGAAUUAUUGGGUUUAAAGGGUGCGUAUGCGGACUGGUAAGUCUGCUGUGAAAGAUUACGGCUCAACCGUGAAAUUGCAGUUGAUACUGUUGGUCUUGAGUAUACAUGAGGUGGGCGGAAUUUGUGGUGUAGCGGUGAAAUGCUUAGAUAUCACAAAGAACACCAGUUGCGAAGGCUGCUGACUGGGGUAUAACUGACGCUGAUGCACGAAAGUGUGGGUAGCAAACAGG
Molecule: ribosomal RNA, 253 nt
Filed under: uncultured bacterium
Lineage: Bacteria
Description: partial 16S ribosomal RNA
Rfam family: Bacterial small subunit ribosomal RNA
Source: RNAcentral